RNAcentral lists this ribosomal RNA (344 nucleotides) under Agrobacterium pusense. Its description in RNAcentral is "bacterial SSU rRNA". It matches the Rfam family "Bacterial small subunit ribosomal RNA", at positions 1093 to 1438 of the family's 1533-position model. The record is from RNAcentral. Lineage: Bacteria; Pseudomonadati; Pseudomonadota; Alphaproteobacteria; Hyphomicrobiales; Rhizobiaceae.
CGAGCGCAACCCUCGCCCUUAGUUGCCAGCAUUUAGUUGGGCACUCUAAGGGGACUGCCGGUGAUAAGCCGAGAGGAAGGUGGGGAUGACGUCAAGUCCUCAUGGCCCUUACGGGCUGGGCUACACACGUGCUACAAUGGUGGUGACAGUGGGCAGCGAGACAGCGAUGUCGAGCUAAUCUCCAAAAGCCAUCUCAGUUCGGAUUGCACUCUGCAACUCGAGUGCAUGAAGUUGGAAUCGCUAGUAAUCGCAGAUCAGCAUGCUGCGGUGAAUACGUUCCCGGGCCUUGUACACACCGCCCGUCACACCAUGGGAGUUGGUUUUACCCGAAGGUAGUGCUGCUA